This 1240-nucleotide long non-coding RNA is filed under the name Homo sapiens (human). RNAcentral's name for it is "HSALNT0122515". Lineage: Eukaryota; Metazoa; Chordata; Mammalia; Primates; Hominidae. The record is from RNAcentral.
GCACUGUAGCUCAGGAACCUUGGAAACAGUUCUCCUGUUUGUCAAACAUCGCCAGACAUCCAAUUCUAGGAGAGAUUGGAACAGAACUUGGGCUGCUCUGGAGAGCCCCUCUUUAUCUCAGAAUGUUGCAUUGUUAGCACAUUCUAUAGUUAUUCUUGAGAACUAUAGACAAGAAAUGAGAGAGAACUGGGAUAGUCUAAGGCCACAUGGAGAUCUGUCUUGCACUAUGUUGACUUAGUUUAGAGGCCCCGGCUGGAGAGGAGUCAGGCCCUUUUCUUGUGGGGUCAAUUAAGUCCGAUCCUCAAUUACCUCCUUGUUUGUCUCUCAGACCCUUGGCCGCUAUUCAGUCGCCAUAUGUGCCUCGGAGCCAGAAACCACAAAAAAAGGUUUUCGCCUACUGCUGCCCUUUAUCCCUCUGGCUCAACUCUGACGCUGGUGCUCCCACGAGUGGCCCCCUGUGGCAUGGCACGCUGUGUUCUCCCCAGGGAACUCUUUAGGAGACAGGAUGUCUGAGGUCAGAAGUUCCCCCUGGUGACCAAACCAGUUAAGACUGAUGAGAUUCAAGAUCCAGCUCACUUCGCCUUUGAAGAACCUCCAACUUCAUUAUAAUUUAUUUUCCAUACUAAAUGACACUCCCACCAGUGCCAUGACAGUUUAUAAUCACCAUGACAAUGACCAGAAGAAAUUAUGAAAGGACAAAAAGGAAGACCACAACUCCGGUUCUGAGGAAUUCUCCACCCAUUCCCAGAAAAGACAAGAAUACUCCUCCCCUUGUUUUUAAUGCCCAAACCCUUCAUUAAAGAUGUCCCAUAUCUGUGACUUCCUGUCUCUCAUUAAUUGAGAAGUUAAUCUGUGAGUCAAGCUCCCACUUCUUAAGUCCAUGGCCAUUGAAUAAAGCCUGCACUGCUUGAUGCUCACUUUUGGUUUCAUGCAUUGUCUUCUCAUCACUGCAUAGAAAAAGAACCCAUUUUAAAAUCAGUAACACUUUGAUUUCUAACGGAUUAAAUUUGCCAUUUUAUUGUUUUCUGUUUGUUUGAUUUGCAUUUUGUUCUUCUGUUUCAAGUGGGUUACUUGAACAGUUUUAAGAAUUCUGUCUUUAUUUACAGUGUUUCAGAGUUCAACUCUUUGUACAGUUUAAUGUUGUUGUAGGUUUCACAGUAUACCUAACAUGUGACUUGUCAUAGUCUAUUGGUAUCAAUGGUGAGUCCUGUGAAAGUUUAUUUCCACUUAGGUCUCUUUA